This 601-nucleotide ribosomal RNA is filed under the name Fusarium setosum. Its description in RNAcentral is "partial large subunit ribosomal RNA". It matches the Rfam family "Eukaryotic large subunit ribosomal RNA", at positions 36 to 661 of the family's 3401-position model. Lineage: Eukaryota; Fungi; Ascomycota; Sordariomycetes; Hypocreales; Nectriaceae. The record is from RNAcentral.
AAGCAUAUCAAUAAGCGGAGGAAAAGAAACCAACAGGGAUUGCCCUAGUAACGGCGAGUGAAGCGGCAACAGCUCAAAUUUGAAAUCUGGCUCCAGGGCCCGAGUUGUAAUUUGUAGAGGAUGCUUUUGGUGCGGUGCCUUCCAAGUGCCCUGGAAUGGGACGCCACAGAGGGUGAGAGCCCCGUCUGGUUGGAUGCCAAGCCUCUGUAAAGCUCCUUCGACGAGUCGAGUAGUUUGGGAAUGCUGCUCUAAAUGGGAGGUAUAUGUCUUCUAAAGCUAAAUACCGGCCAGAGACCGAUAGCGCACAAGUAGAGUGAUCGAAAGAUGAAAAGCACUUUGAAAAGAGAGUUAAAAAGUACGUGAAAUUGUUGAAAGGGAAGCGUUUAUGACCAGACUUGGGCUUGGUUAAUCAUCCAGGGUUCUCCCUGGUGCACUUUUCCAGUCCAGGCCAGCAUCAGUUCGUCUCGGGGGAUAAAGGCUUCGGGAAUGUGGCUCUCUCCGGGGAGUGUUAUAGCCCGUUGCGUAAUACCCUGUGGCGGACUGAGGUUCGCGCUCUGCAAGGAUGCUGGCGUAAUGGUCAUCAACGACCCGUCUUGAAACA